UUGCUCCUAUUUAUUAUAGGGAAAUUGGGGUCUAUAACCAAACAAAAACUUCUAAUUCACGCUCUAACCAAUUUUCCUAACGGAUCUUUACACAGCGUCUCUUUUACAUAUUAAAACUGUGUUGCCCUUUAUAUCAACCGGUGAAACCUGAAGAGAAAAUUAAAUAAAAAACUUAAUUAUUAUUGGUAAAAAGUAAAUCGUGGCUUAUCUCCUUUCAAAUAUUCAAUUUUAUUUAUCUUGGUAACUUCGUCGAAGGUGAAAGGUCUCCGGCACCGAGUGGAGUAAUUGCCUCGCAACCGCCUCGCCUCCGCUUGCUUCUCUGUGAUUUUUGACAUCUCCUUCGUCGUUUUAAACUUCCUUCUCUACUCAGCUUCUGAAAUCAGGGCACAAUCAAAACUUCCUUCUCUACUCCGCUUCUGAAAUCGGGGCACAAUCGACGGCGUUAACCUUGUACCGCGCCUACCAACCCCGGUGCCUUCUCGACUUCACGCAGUCCAUAUCUCUCGGAUCUCUUCACCGACGGCAUAUUCCUCCAUUCCAGCCGUUGGUGGAGUCUCUGCAUUUUUGGGUGGUGCUUUGCCCCAGGUGGAAGCUACUUCCACCCAACCUCAUGUUGAUUCCUCUGUUGUUACCGAGGCACCACACCAAGUUGAAUCAAAUGUCUCAGACACAAGCACUGAAGCAGACCCCGGUUCCGUUGCCAAAACUAUCCUGUUCCAACCAAGUGUUUCGCCCUCAGAUCUUCAUCAGGUGAUCUCAAAGAACUUGAUUUAUUAUAGGUGAAAUGGUAUGGUCUUAUGCAUACUUAUGUGUAUCUCCC
Brassica napus (rape) is the source of this 820-nucleotide long non-coding RNA. RefSeq lists it as uncharacterized. NCBI's taxonomy places the organism in Eukaryota, Viridiplantae, Streptophyta, Magnoliopsida, Brassicales, Brassicaceae. The record is from RefSeq and is a predicted model, not a curated record. The transcript has 3 exons.